UACGUAGGGGGCAAGCGUUGUCCGGAAUCAUUGGGCGUAAAGCGCUCGCAGGUGGUUCGAUGCGUCGUGCGUGAAAGACCCCGGCUCAACUGGGGAGGGUCGUGCGAUACGGUCGAACUGGAGGCCAGUAGGGGGAUGCGGAAUUCCGGGUGUAGUGGUGGAAUGCGUAGAGAUCCGGAGGAACACCAGCGGCGAAGGCGGCAUCCUGGACUGGUCCUGACACUCAGGAGCGAAAGCGUGGGGAGCGAUCCGG
This 253-nucleotide ribosomal RNA is filed under the name uncultured bacterium. RNAcentral describes it as "partial 16S ribosomal RNA". It matches the Rfam family "Bacterial small subunit ribosomal RNA", at positions 524 to 776 of the family's 1533-position model. The record is from RNAcentral.